Molecule: ribosomal RNA, 497 nt
Filed under: uncultured bacterium
Lineage: Bacteria
Description: partial 16S ribosomal RNA
Rfam family: Bacterial small subunit ribosomal RNA
Source: RNAcentral
GAUGAACGCUGGCGGCGUGCCUAAUACAUGCAAGUCGAGCGAACGGACGAGAAGCUUGCUGCUCUGAUGUUAGCGGCGGACGGGUGAGUAACACGUGGAUAACCUACCUAUAAGACUGGGAUAACUUCGGGAAACCGGAGCUAAUACCGGAUGAUAUUUUGAACCGCAUGGUUCAAAAGUUAAAGACGGUCUUGCUGCUACUUAUAGAUGGAUCCGCCCUGCUUUAGCUAGUUGGUAAGGUAACAGCUUACCAAGGCAACGAUGCAUAGCCGACCUCAGAGGGUGAUCGGCCACACUGGAACUGAGACACGGUCCAGACUCCUACGGGCGGCAGCGGUAGGGAAUCUUCCGCUAUGGGCGAAAGCCUGACGGAGCAACGCCGCGUGAGUGAUGAAGGUCUUCGGCUCGUAAAGCUCUGUUAUUAGGGAAGAACAUAUGUGUAAGUAACUGUGCACAUCUUGACGGUACCUGAUCAGAAAGCCCCGGCUAACUACGUG